RNAcentral lists this transfer-messenger RNA (403 nucleotides) under Alistipes sp. It matches the Rfam family "transfer-messenger RNA". From Rfam's summary of the family: Bacterial tmRNA, also known as 10Sa RNA or SsrA, is named for its dual tRNA and mRNA-like properties. Its role is to liberate the mRNA from a stalled ribosome. The record is from RNAcentral. Lineage: Bacteria; Pseudomonadati; Bacteroidota; Bacteroidia; Bacteroidales; Rikenellaceae.
GGGGGUGACCGGUUUUGACAGCAGGUAGAAUUUGAUUGUAAGCACGUCGAGCGCUGUGUGGCGGCUCGUUAAUCCCGACGCUCAAACUACAAAUGGCAAUAAUAGCUAUGCACUCGCUGCCUAAUUUUCAAGGAAAAUUGGCUUAAUCGACGGGCCCAAGGAGGUCUGACGACGAGUAUCCCGAAGUGCGAUUCCGCUCUUUAAUUGUGCUUCAUACGGGGUAUCAUUCUUUAAGAGAUAGCGCUGUAGGUGUCCCGACUGCAGGGCGAACUUUAGGGACUGGGACUCGUGUUAGGCUGCCGCCUGCCGGAUGCGGGUAGAAGGAUGAAAUGGUCGGCUAAACGUGUAGAAAGCUUUUGGGUUCCUUGUUUGGACGCGGGUUCGACUCCCGCCACCUCCACCA